GGCCGCUGUUUGUCUGUAAUCUAUCUAAAUUUUGAGGUGAAAAUGCAGCCAUUUUAGCCAAAGGGUACACAUCAUGAACCUUAUAAUCAUUUCUAUAGAACUUGUCUUGAUACCCUGAGCUAUAAUAUUCGAAGAAGUGGAUGCUGACUCGGUUGCUUUUAAUACGGAUGCUAUAUGAUACGAAUUUACAAUAACACACCAGAAGUGGUAUGAUGUAAAUUAUUGGAAGAAGACUGAAGAAGAACUGACGUUGGGUCAAUGUUUUUCUGCUGUCAGUUUGAUCCACUUGAGCAUGCUGAACGAGUAAAGUUCCUUAUAUCCACAUUGGAAUGUGAAACAAUUAGUAUUUAAAUAACGGAAUUAAGUUUUCAAAUGAUUUUUGGCAUCAAAAUCUUCCGAUCGAUGUUUAGACAAAAACAAUGCAUUUUUUAAUUUUUUUUUUUAUCAAAGCCGGUAUUUACCUUUACUCGUCCUUGGCGUGAGACGUUAGACAUAUAAUAUAAUUAUCGAGUAUUUUAUAUUCUUUCAUCUGUGUUCUGUUUAAACAAACCAUUAUCACUUUUCAAUUAUCCGACGGCUUGGUCAAAAUGUCAACUUGUUCUCGCAUUUUAAUCAGUCAUUCCCGAUUCUUUCGAUACACUCGGGAUUUUACCACGUUUACGUACGUACAUAUAGUAAACAGGUAAAAGUAGAGCGGGGAAAUGUUCAUUCAUGAAAUAUUCAUGAAUGAAUGAAAACGCAAUCUCGCGCAGAUUUUUU
RNAcentral lists this long non-coding RNA (759 nucleotides) under Mytilus galloprovincialis (Mediterranean mussel). Lineage: Eukaryota; Metazoa; Mollusca; Bivalvia; Mytilida; Mytilidae. The record is from RNAcentral.